GUGGAGUUGAUGCGAGUGAGAAUGCAGGCAUGAGUAGCGUGUGACGGGUGGGAAUCCCGUCCGCCGAUUAUCCAAGGGUUCCAGGGUCAAGUUUGUCUGCCCUGGGUGAGUCGGGUCCUAAGGCGAGGCCGACAGGCGUAGUCGAUGGGUAACCAGUUGAUCUUCUGGUACCGGCUUGUCACCGUCCGUGUCGAGGUGUGUGAUGCUAAGCAUGUGAGCUUGUCUUGGGAGUGUUUUUGAUGCUU
This 245-nucleotide ribosomal RNA is filed under the name Xanthomonas citri pv. citri. Its description in RNAcentral is "partial 23S ribosomal RNA". It matches the Rfam family "Bacterial large subunit ribosomal RNA", at positions 1273 to 1519 of the family's 2925-position model. Lineage: Bacteria; Pseudomonadati; Pseudomonadota; Gammaproteobacteria; Lysobacterales; Lysobacteraceae. The record is from RNAcentral.